RNAcentral lists this ribosomal RNA (616 nucleotides) under uncultured marine eukaryote. RNAcentral's name for it is "SSU rRNA". It matches the Rfam family "Eukaryotic small subunit ribosomal RNA", at positions 617 to 1240 of the family's 1831-position model. The record is from RNAcentral.
AGUUAAAAAGCUCGUAGUUGGAUUUCGGAGUGGGCCAGUUGGUCCGCCGCAAGGUGUGUUACUGACUGGUUUGCUCUUCUUCGCAAAGACUGCGUGUGCUCUUGAGUGAGUGUGCGUAGGAUUUACGACGUUUACUUUGAAAAAAUUAGAGUGUUCAAAGCAGGCUAUUGCUUGAAUACAUGAGCAUGGAAUAAUGGAAUAGGACUUUGGUCCCAUUUUGUUGGUUUCUAGGGCCGAAGUAAUGAUUAAGAGGGACAAUUGGGGGCAUCCGUAUUUCGUUGUCAGAGGUGAAAUUCUUGGAUUUACGAAAGACGAACAACUGCGAAAGCACUCGCCAAGAGUGUUUUCAUUAAUCAAGAACGAAAGUUAGAGGAUCGAAGACGAUCAGAUACCGUCCUAGUUCUAACCAUAAACGAUGUCGACUAGGGAUCAGCGGGCGUUAUCGUACGACCCCGUUGGCACCUUACGGGAAACCAAAGUUUUUGGAUUCCGGGGGAAGUAUGGUUGCAAAGCUGAAACUUAAAGGAAUUGACGGAAGGGCACCACCAGGAGUGGAGCCUGUGGCUCAUUUUGACUCAACACGGGAAAACUUACCAGGUCCAGACAUAGUAAGGAU